This 486-nucleotide ribosomal RNA is filed under the name uncultured bacterium. Its description in RNAcentral is "partial 16S ribosomal RNA". It matches the Rfam family "Bacterial small subunit ribosomal RNA", at positions 30 to 507 of the family's 1533-position model. The record is from RNAcentral.
AUUGAACGCUGGCGGCAUGCCUUACACAUGCAAGUCGAACGGUAACAGGGGUGAUCGUACUUGGUGGCUAACGGCUGACGGGCGAGUAAUUAAUCGCAGCAUGUCCUGCUGUUGGGGGUGGCUAGCUGCAAGCAAGAUUAAUACAGACUACGUAACAUGGAUGAACGCGGGGGACCUUCGUGCCUGGCGCUUGCGGUCUGGCCGAUGGAGGAUUAGCUAGUUGGUGGGGUAAAGGCCUACCAAGGCGACGAUCAGUAGCUGGUCUGAGAGGACGACCAGCCACACUGGAACUGAGACACGGCCCAGACUCCUACGGGAGGCAGCAGUGGGGAAUAUUGGACAAUGGGCGAAAGCCUGAUGCAGCAAUGCCGCGUGUAUGAAGAAGGCCUUCGGGUUGUAAAGCACUUUUGGCCGGAAAGAAAGCAGUAACGCUAAUACAGUCGGUGAAUGACGUUACCGGAAGAAGAAGCACCGGCUAACUACGUG